GUAUUGGCCUACCGUGGCAAUGACGGGUAACGGGGAAUUAGGGUUCGAUUCCGGAGAGGGAGCCUGAGAAACGGCUACCACAUCUAAGGAAGGCAGCAGGCGCGCAAAUUACCCAAUCCUAAUACAGGGAGGUAGUGACAAGAAAUAACAAUACAGGAUUUUAACAGUUUUGUAAUUGGAAUGAGUUGAGUAUAAACCCCUUUACAAGUAUCAAUUGGAGGGCAAGUCUGGUGCCAGCAGCCGCGGUAAUUCCAGCUCCAAUAGCGUAUAUUAAAGUUGUUGCAGUUAAAAAGCUCGUAGUUGGAUUUCUGUUAAUAAUUUAUAUAUAAUAUUUAACAUAUUUAUAUAAUAUUAACAUAAUUCAUAUUACUAUUUAUAGUAUAUGAAACUUUACUUUGAGAAAAUUAGAGUGCUUAAAGCAGGCUUUUGCCUUGAAUACUAGAGCAUGGAAUAAUAUUAAAGAUUUUUAUCUUUCUUAUUGGUUCUAAGAUAGAAAUAAUGAUUAAUAGGGACAGUUGGGGGCAUUUGUAUUUAA
Molecule: ribosomal RNA, 535 nt
Filed under: Cryptosporidium canis
Lineage: Eukaryota; Apicomplexa; Conoidasida; Eucoccidiorida; Cryptosporidiidae
Description: SSU rRNA
Rfam family: Eukaryotic small subunit ribosomal RNA
Source: RNAcentral